GGGAAGGGAAGGGAAGGGAAGGGAAGGGAAGGGGCUGCAGCACACACCACCGGUGCCACCGCGGCUCCAGCAGCAGCAGCACGGCCGCAGCCGCCAGCGCGGUGCAAUCGCAACGCGACGCCCCCCGGCUCGCCGCCCCGCGCCUGUCACCCCCCCUUCCCCUUCCUUCCCAUUUCCCUUCCCCUUCCCUUCUUCCCCUUCCCCUCCCCAAACCUCCCUCUCUAUCCCGGGCCCUCCCCGGGCGGCGCUCCCGGUGCGCAGCGGCCCUGCCGACGGAGCGCAUUAAAAAAAAACAAAAACCCUUUUCCUCCCCGCUGACCCCCCCACGGUUCCUCCCCGGUGUCCCCCCCGGCUGCAGCAGCCUCUUACCGGGCGGGCCGUGCCCCGCUGCGUCUCAGCGGCGGCGCUGGGCGGGGGUGGCCCCGGCGGCCAUCCCCGGGCGGCCGCGCCGCUGUCCGCCGCCGUGCGAGCCGCCUCGGCGGUGUCAGCGGGCGGGAGCCCCGCGCGGCGCCGGGAGGGAGGGGAGGAAAGUCGGGGGCAUGACCGAGCGCCGUCGGAAGUGCAUUCGUUGCCCGUCGCCCUCCCCGCGACGGCGGCGACAUCUGCCGGCGGGGAGCGCGCACCGCGAGGCGCGCACCGGGCUGCGCGCAAAAAGAAAGGGGUGCCCCAUUUCCGAAGGAAACCCACCUGAAGGCACUCCCUGCACUGGGAGUCCUGCCAUCUCCUUGCGCUCGGGGACUUGGAAAUGCUCCUGAGCCAAACCACAGCUUGCUGAGCCACAGCAUCCCAUUAAACCUGACAGCAAGCAUCCUUCACCGGCCUGCUGCAUGCAUGCACUGCUGACCUGCGGACAAUCAGCAAGGAAAAGGCACAAAAACCUUUGGUGCAGCUGCAGCAGAUGCCUGCAGAAGCCACGGCGGCUGCACAAACCCCACGCACCGUCGAUCCUCCCUCCAGCAGGGCAGCUCCUCGCCCCUCUCCCUGAUGACUUUAAGCGCUCUCUACCCACGCAGGCACUCUGCAAGUCCACAUUCAUCGAGGCUGACCCCUCGGGGCUGUGAUGGGAUUUAAAAGGCCGCUGGGAGGCUUCCAGCUGAGAAGGGACUCGGGAACGCGGAGGGCAGUGCCCUCUUCCUUAGCUCAGCGCUCGGAAACAGAGCGCGGGAUAAAAGGCACGCCACGGGGAGAAGGGGAGGGAUGGGGACACAAAGGGAGAUCCAGCCCUGCAGAAAGCCCUCUUUGUCUCCUGCACAGCUGCUAGGAUAUUUCCAAGAGGCAGGACGGAGGCCGGUGCGUGGUGGGGCCCUGCUGUUGCAAACACCCCCGGCCCUAUAACGGGGGAAAACAUCCCCUCAACAGGGGAUUUGGCAGUGGGAGCAGCAUGGGGGUCCUGUACCCCUGCCCCAAAUGCAGCCCCCCUCUCCUGAAGUGCAGGGUGCCCCCCAGUGUGGGGUGACAGGACGGGUAUGUUUGUGACAACCCCGCUCUCCCCCAUGAAUGCUGACUUUUAGCUCUUACCCAGUGAUUUCAGUUCCUGCCCCAUAUUCUUCUCCUAACAAUUUUAAAAGAAACUCAGAGUCAGCAAUUUCAGCUCCUGCCUCGUGUUUCCCUCCAAAAGCUUUAUUAUUCAGCUCCUCUUCGUUUCAGGUCCAGCUCUUCUUUCUCAGCUCCUUUCCCACAAUUUUACCUUUUCC
Cairina moschata (Muscovy duck) is the source of this 1694-nucleotide long non-coding RNA. The record is from Ensembl. NCBI's taxonomy places the organism in Eukaryota, Metazoa, Chordata, Aves, Anseriformes, Anatidae.